GACGUAGGGCGCGAGCGUUGUCCGGAUUUAUUGGGCGUAAAGAGCUCGUAGGCGGCUUGUCGCGUCGUCCGUGAAAACCCACAGCUCAACUGUGGGCUUGCGGUCGAUACGGGCAGGCUAGAGUUCGGUAGGGGAGACUGGAAUUCCUGGUGUAGCGGUGAAAUGCGCAGAUAUCAGGAGGAACACCAGUGGCGAAGGCGGCACUCUGGGCCGGUACUGACGCUGAGGAGCGAAAGCGUGGGGAGCGAACAGG
This 253-nucleotide ribosomal RNA is filed under the name uncultured bacterium. RNAcentral describes it as "partial 16S ribosomal RNA". It matches the Rfam family "Bacterial small subunit ribosomal RNA", at positions 524 to 776 of the family's 1533-position model. The record is from RNAcentral.